CCUUUUACGUUAGCGGCGGACGGGUGAGUAACACGUGGGUAACCUACCUAUAAGACUGGGAUAACUUCGGGAAACCGGAGCUAAUACCGGAUAAUAUUUCGAACCGCAUGGUUCGAUAGUGAAAGAUGGUUUUGCUAUCACUUAUAGAUGGACCCGCGCCGUAUUAGCUAGUUGGUAAGGUAACGGCUUACCAAGGCGACGAUACGUAGCCGACCUGAGAGGGUGAUCGGCCACACUGGAACUUAGACACGGUCCAGACUCCUACGGGAGGCAGCAGCU
This 279-nucleotide ribosomal RNA is filed under the name uncultured Staphylococcus sp. Its description in RNAcentral is "partial 16S ribosomal RNA". It matches the Rfam family "Bacterial small subunit ribosomal RNA", at positions 83 to 355 of the family's 1533-position model. Lineage: Bacteria; Bacillati; Bacillota; Bacilli; Caryophanales; Staphylococcaceae. The record is from RNAcentral.